This 98-nucleotide transfer RNA is filed under the name Daldinia bambusicola. RNAcentral's name for it is "tRNA-Ile". It matches the Rfam family "tRNA". From Rfam's summary of the family: Transfer RNA (tRNA) molecules are approximately 80 nucleotides in length. Their secondary structure includes four short double-helical elements and three loops (D, anti-codon, and T loops). Further hydrogen bonds mediate the characteristic L-shaped molecular structure. tRNAs have two regions of fundamental functional importance: the anti-codon, which is responsible for specific mRNA codon recognition, and the 3' end, to which the tRNAs corresponding amino acid is attached (by aminoacyl-tRNA synthetases). tRNAs cope with the degeneracy of the genetic code in two manners: having more than one tRNA (with a specific anti-codon) for a particular amino acid; and 'wobble' base-pairing, i.e. permitting non-standard base-pairing at the 3rd anti-codon position. The record is from RNAcentral. Lineage: Eukaryota; Fungi; Ascomycota; Sordariomycetes; Xylariales; Hypoxylaceae.
GGUCCCAUAGCUCAGCUUGGUUAGAGCGUCGUACUAAUAUUUCAUUUCGAAAUAUCUAGUAAAUGCGAAGGUCGGCAGUUCGAGCCUGUCUGGGACCA